This 73-nucleotide transfer RNA is filed under the name Acropora cervicornis. RNAcentral's name for it is "tRNA-Thr". It matches the Rfam family "tRNA". From Rfam's summary of the family: Transfer RNA (tRNA) molecules are approximately 80 nucleotides in length. Their secondary structure includes four short double-helical elements and three loops (D, anti-codon, and T loops). Lineage: Eukaryota; Metazoa; Cnidaria; Anthozoa; Scleractinia; Acroporidae. The record is from RNAcentral.
GGCUUCAUAGCUCAGUUGAUUAGAGCAUCGCACCAGUAUCACGAGGUCACAGGUUCAAGCCCUGUCGAAGUCC